RNAcentral lists this transfer RNA (77 nucleotides) under bioreactor metagenome. Its description in RNAcentral is "tRNA-Ala". The record is from RNAcentral.
CGGUCCGCGGCCGGUGGACGCCUUCGCUGCCGGCGGCGGCGACAUCGGCCUCCGGUUCGGAAUCCGGGAAGACCGGC